This 67-nucleotide ribosomal RNA is filed under the name uncultured Sebacina. RNAcentral describes it as "partial 5.8S ribosomal RNA". It matches the Rfam family "5.8S ribosomal RNA", at positions 49 to 115 of the family's 154-position model. From Rfam's summary of the family: 5.8S ribosomal RNA (5.8S rRNA) is a component of the large subunit of the eukaryotic ribosome. It is transcribed by RNA polymerase I as part of the 45S precursor that also contains 18S and 28S rRNA. Lineage: Eukaryota; Fungi; Basidiomycota; Agaricomycetes; Sebacinales; Sebacinaceae. The record is from RNAcentral.
CGAAAUGCAAUACGUAAUGUGAAUUGCAGAAUUCAGUGAAUCAUCGAAUCUUUGAACGCACCUUGCA